UUCGGAUUGCAGUCUGCAACUCGACUGCAUGAAGCUGGAAUCGCUAGUAAUCGCGAAUCAGCAUGUCGCGGUGAAUACGUUCCCGGGUCUUGUACACACCGCCCGUCACACCAUGGGAGUCGGAAAUGCCCGAAGCCAGUGACCCCAACCUUUAAGGAGGGAGCUGUCGAAGGCAGGUCUGGUAACUGGGGUGAAGUCGUAACAAGGUAAC
This 211-nucleotide ribosomal RNA is filed under the name uncultured bacterium. RNAcentral describes it as "partial 16S ribosomal RNA". It matches the Rfam family "Bacterial small subunit ribosomal RNA", at positions 1292 to 1500 of the family's 1533-position model. The record is from RNAcentral.